CAAAUUAUUAAGCGUUUCCACUCAUCUGAUCUGAUGAGUGGAACGUAGACUUGAGGCUGAACCUGGAAGUUUACGGAAUUAGAAAACCCCAAAAGACUAGUUUGAAAGGCUCCCGAUUAGUACGAUGUAAGAAGAUGAUCUCCAAUUCACCUAUGAAAUACAUAUACAUAGCAAGUUUCCCAAGAUGCAAUGCACCUGGGAGGUUUAUAGUACCGCCCCCUACAUGCUGUAGCCUGUGGGUAGCACGUGGCGUCGAGUGUGAAGGUGUUGGAGCGGCUUUUGCAUCGAGUUUUGGAGCCAUUCUGGAAAUUGUUUGCAGUUAUUUU
Pelobates cultripes (western spadefoot toad) is the source of this 326-nucleotide non-coding RNA. The record is from the annotation of a GenBank genome assembly. Lineage: Eukaryota; Metazoa; Chordata; Amphibia; Anura; Pelobatidae.